This 3608-nucleotide long non-coding RNA is filed under the name Eutrema salsugineum. RNAcentral's name for it is "long non-coding RNA (ESAL_LNC001825)". Lineage: Eukaryota; Viridiplantae; Streptophyta; Magnoliopsida; Brassicales; Brassicaceae. The record is from RNAcentral.
ACGGGAUAGUGAUCAUUACUUUAGAUAUAUAUAUAUGGUUAGCGCUGAUAUAGGAGAUAGUGGGUAAUUAAGAACGGAAAAUAUUGCAUAUACAGAAUUUUAAAAUGAAAUAUGAAAACAUGGAGGGAACUUCUUAACUUUUGAAAACAUUCCAAGAACAAUUUAAAUAUUCGUAUUUUUAAUAAUGUAUUCGUGUUUAGCUUGAAUAUUUCAUGUAGUAAAGUUCUGAUCCUUGAUUGUUCCUGCAAAAAAAAAAGAAGAUGAAGAUCAUUCAGUGUCAAUGAAGAGAAGAAACAAAGAAGAAGAAGAAGUAUUAUGUCGAGAAGAAGAAAUCGAAGAAGGAGAAAGAAAAGUCAAGAGGCAAAGUCAACUAAAGAAGAAGAUGGGCUUACUGAGUACAGUGGGCCUACGAAGAAUAAAGGGGCUUCGGUUUCACCAGGCCCAGAAGAAAGAGUCUUGUUAAGAAGUCUGCAAAAGAGGCAAGUAGAAACUGCAAGAGUGGUUAGAGUCUAAGUAGUCGUAGUAGUUAAGUGUAAUGAUCAAUAUAGUGUGGCUUGUGUAAGGGAGUCUAAGUUCUAGAGUUAAGGUGUUAGAACAGUAAGGAAAAGAAAGUAGUAGUUGGCGACAACUCUAUAUGUAUGAGAGAAGAAGAAGAAUGUAAGAGUGUAAGAAAAAUGUAUGAAAAAUUAGAUAAAUGAGAAUGAGUGUUAAAGAAAAACAAGUUGUCAAAAGAAAGAAAACAAACCUGUGAGAUCAAAAGAGAGAAUCACAACAUGGUAUCAGAGCUCUAGUUGUUCUCGGAACCUGUUGAAGAAGGCACAAGAAAGAAGAAAUCAAAAGGGAGAAGAGAAAGUGAAGAUCAAAGAUGUCGAUCAACCUACAAUCAUCUCAAACGGUUGCCGUAUUUAAUGGACAGAACUAUGAGUUCUGGGCAGCAAGGAUGCGGACAACUCUGAUGAACAAGGAGUUAUGGGAGGUUGUCAAGGAAGGACCUCCAGAUCCACUAUCAAAAGCACUUGAAACACCAGGAGGAGAUAAGUCAAAAGAAGCUGCAAACCUGCGGAUGCUCAAAGCUAAGGACACAGCUGCACUCCAAAUCAUUCAAUAUGCCGUAGCUGAUGUCAUCUUUGACAAAAUUCUUUCUGCAACAACAGCAAAACAGGCUUGGGAUCUCCUGGAACAUUCCUAUCAAGGUAAUGCAAAAGUGAAAAUGGUUAGGUUACAAUCAUUAAGAAGAGAGUUUGAGAACUUGAAAAUGAAAGAAGGAGAAAAAGUGAAGGCAUAUUCUGAUAGGAUACAAGCUGUAGCAAAUCAAAUGAGAGCUCUAGGUGGAGAUAGAUCAAACUUUGAUUUGGUAGUUAUAAUGUUAGCAUAUAUGCCUAAGAGCUAUGCAGGCUUAUCCUCUCUGAUGGAAGAAACCAAGGAUCUCAACACAGUUACUUACGCAGAGCUGGUAGGAUCCCUAGAAGCACAUGAAAAGAAAAUUUUCCCUGAUGAUGAAGAAGAAGCAGAAGAAGCUUUUCUUGCAAGAUUCAGAAACCCAAAUGUAGAGGACAAGAGUAAUGGAGUAUCCGGACAAAUGAGCUACAAAAGAAAAAGAUGGUGCGGGUUCUGUAAAAGGGACAAUCACAAUGAAGAUGUGUGUUACUUCAAGAAUGGAAGAAACGGGCCAGAAUUGAACAGAAACAAAGACACAAGAAGUUGUUAUAACUGUGGCAAGCUUGGUCAUUUUGCAAGAGACUGCAGAAACAAGAGGUCUGAACAAGCACAAGCAACUCAAGAAGAAAAAGAAGAAGAGGAAGAGUACCAUAUGUUUUCUUCAAGACAAGAAGAUCAAAAACCUGUUGAAGAAAACAUUUGGCUCAUUGAUAGUGGUUGCACAAACCACAUGACCCCAAAUGAGAAGCUGUUCACGAUACUUGACACAAGUUUCAAAGUUCCAAUUCAAGUUGGUGAUGGAACGACACUGAUGACCAAAGGAAGAGGAGACAUUGAAGUCAUGACAAAGAAGGGCAAGAGAAUCAUUGGAAAUGUUUUUCUAGUCCCUAAAAUUGCUAAGAAUCUUCUAAGUGUUUCUCAGAUGAUUGCAAAUGGAUAUGCAGUUACCUUUAAGCAAAGAAGCUGCAUCAUCCAUGAUAAAUUUGGGAGAAAGAUAGCUGAACUGGAAAUAGCAAAGAAGAGUUUUCAUCUUCAUUUGCCCUUGAGUGAAGGAAUAGCAAAUGCAGUGUCAAAGGAAGAGGCUGAAUCUAGUUAUCAAGGAGCUGGAUAUGCUGAAGUCAGAAACCCAGAAGAGUUUAAACCAUGGAAGAGCGUGCAGUAUCAUAAGAAGAAACUGAUGAUCAAUGUUGAGAAUCAAAGCAACAUCAAGUCAGACAAGAGAGAAUCAGAAGUUAAGAAUGUCAAGGAAGUGGUUCAAGGAACCAAACUGAACCGGAUAGUGAUCAAAAGUGAUACAAAUCAACAAAAAGAAGAUUUAUCUUUGAAGGAGAAAGAGCAGAAGCUGAUUGACGAGAUGAUCGGCCGAAACGCAAAGAGAGCUCAGAGAAGCAUCAAAGUAAACAAAGAGGAGACCCAAGAGAGAAUUAAGAGGACCCAAGAGGAAAAUAACAGAGAGUUCAAGUGUCAGAACACAGAGACAUCGGACAAAAAUGAAGCAAGUCUUAAAUUGAAGCAGGAAAUUCAAAGCCAAAGCCGAAGGGAGGUAAGAGAAUUACCUGUUAGAGAGGAACCCAGAAGCGCUAAGAAGGAUGGAGGGAGCAGAGACUCCUCAGCUAAGAACCUGCAGAAAGAGGAGAAGCAGAAAUCAAUUAAACUCAAAGAGAAAAUGGUUCAAGAGGGAGCUGAGAAUUAUAAAGGAGAAGAGGAAGCUGAACCAACAAAAAUUCAGAGCAAGAAGGAGAUCGAGAAAUCAUGCUUACCCAGGAGCUAUGCAAACGUCUUGAUGAGUGCUCCUCAACCGAAUAAAGGAACAAGCAGAGAAGAAUCAAAGGGAUCAAAAUUCAAAACCCUAAAUUGGAAUCGGGAACCAAUCAAGGCUCAAGAGGGAGUGUUGAGUUCUGAUCCUUGAUUGUUCCUGCAAAAAAAAAAGAAGAUGAAGAUCAUUCAGUGUCAAUGAAGAGAAGAAACAAAGAAGAAGAAGAAGUAUUAUGUCGAGAAGAAGAAAUCGAAGAAGGAGAAAGAAAAGUCAAGAGGCAAAGUCAACUAAAGAAGAAGAUGGGCUUACUUAGUACAGUGGGCCUACGAAGAAUAAAGGGGCUUCGGUUUCACCAGGCCCAGAAGAAAGAGUCUUGUUAAGAAGUCUGCAAAAGAGUCAAGUAGAAACUGCAAGAGUGGUUAGAGUCUAAGUAGUCGUAGUAGUUAAGUGUAAUGUCAAUAUAGUGUGGCUUGUGUAAGGGAGUCUAAGUUCUAGAGUUAAGGUGUUAGAACAGUAAGGAAAAGAAAGUAGUAGUUGGCGACAACUCUAUAUGUAUGAGAGAAGAAGAAGAAUGUAAGAGUGUAAGAAAAAUGUAUGAAAAAUUAGAUAAAUGAGAAUGAGUGUUAAAGAAAAACAAGUUGUCAAAAGAAAGAAAACAAACCUGUGAGAUCAAAAGAGAGAAUCACAACAAAUA